GCUAGGACGAACGCUGGCGGCGUGCCUUAACACAUGCAAGUCGAACGGAGUUAAUGAUUUCGGUUGUUAACUUAGUGGCGAACGGGUGAGUAACGCGUGAACAACCUGACCCAAAGAGGGGGAUAACAUUUGGAAACAGAUGCUAAUACCGCAUAAGACCACAACGUCACAUGGCGAAGGGGUCAAAGGAGCAAUCCGCUUUGGGAGGGGUUCGCGUCCCAUUAGGUAGAUGGCGGGGUAACGGCCCACCAAGCCGACGAUCCAUAGCCGACCUGAGAGGGUGACCGGCCACAUUGGGACUGAGACACGGCCCAAACUCCUACGGGAGGCAGCAGUGGGGAAUAUUGCACAAUGGGGGAAACCCUGAUGCAGCGACGCCGCGUGAGUGAAGAAGUAUUUCGGUAUGUAAAGCUCUAUCAGCAGGGAAGAAAAUGACGGUACCUGACUAAGAAGCCCCGGCUAACUACGUGCCAGCCGCAGC
This 481-nucleotide ribosomal RNA is filed under the name uncultured bacterium. Its description in RNAcentral is "bacterial SSU rRNA". It matches the Rfam family "Bacterial small subunit ribosomal RNA", at positions 26 to 518 of the family's 1533-position model. The record is from RNAcentral.